GACGAACGCUGGCGGCGUGCUUAACACAUGCAAGUCGAACGAUGAAGCCCAGCUUGCUGGGUGGAUUAGUGGCGAACGGGUGAGUAACACGUGGGCAACCUGCCCCAAACUCUGGGAUAACUCCUCGAAAGAGGUGCUAAUACCGGAUACGAACUAGACAGACAUCUGUACUAGUUGGAAAGUUUUUCGGUUUGGGAUGGGCCCGCGGCCUAUCAGCUUGUUGGUGAGGUAACGGCUCACCAAGGCUACGACGGGUAACCGGCCUGAGAUGGCGACCGGUCACACUGGGACUGAGACACGGCCCAGACUCCUACGGGAGGCAGCAGUGGGGAAUAUUGCGCAAUGGGCGAAAGCCUGACGCAGCGACGCCGCGUGAGGGAUGAAGGUCUUCGGAUCGUAAACCUCUUUCAGUAGGGACGAAGCGAAAGUGACGGUACCUAAAGAAGAAGCACCGGCUAACUACGUGCCAGCCGCCGCAGUAA
Molecule: ribosomal RNA, 482 nt
Filed under: uncultured bacterium
Lineage: Bacteria
Description: partial 16S ribosomal RNA
Rfam family: Bacterial small subunit ribosomal RNA
Source: RNAcentral